CCCUGAAAAUGGAUGGCGCUGGAGCGUNCCACUUAUUCCGGACCGCUUGGGCAGUUGUGUCCUUCUCGCGGAGGAAAGCCAAGCUCAAGCGAGUAGGAGGNCCGCUGUGGUGAGCGUCGAAGCCUGGGA
This 129-nucleotide ribosomal RNA is filed under the name Truncatella pulchella. RNAcentral describes it as "partial 28S ribosomal RNA". It matches the Rfam family "Eukaryotic large subunit ribosomal RNA", at positions 1310 to 1415 of the family's 3401-position model. The record is from RNAcentral. Lineage: Eukaryota; Metazoa; Mollusca; Gastropoda; Littorinimorpha; Truncatellidae.